AGGGGGUACAGAGGGGUCCCGGGAAUGGGCGGGUCUGGGGGUCCCGGUUCAGGAUAAGGGGGUCCAGAGGGGUCCCGGGAAUGGGCGGGUCUGGGGGUCCCGGUUCAGGAUAAGGGGGUACAGAGAGGUCCUGGUGGCAGAGAGGGGAGUGCAGAGGGUCUCCGUGCCCAGGAAUGGAGGUUCAGGAGGGUCCCCGUGUCCGGGAAUGGGAGCUCAGGGGGUCCCUCUGUCCCCUCGUUGCCCCCCAGGAGCCGCCCCCAGGCCCGGCGCUGGAGCCACGCGCGGCUCCGCCUCAGCCCCACCCCUGCUCGCGAUUGGUGCCGCCGCCGCGCAACAGCCAAUGGCAGCCGGCGGCGUUCGUGACGUCACCGGUUGCUGGGUGGAUUCCGGAGGCGCCGUUUGGGAGGAAAUCAUGCGUGCCAAGGACCUGUAGUCCGGGACAUGGCACGGAAAUGGAGACACAGAACUUCCUGCAGAGCCCAAGCCCCAAAUCCUGCAGCUGCUUUGGUUGUUCCUUACCUAGAGAACACCCUGAGAUCACCUGGAGCACAGAGAUGGAGGACAAGGACACCCCGAGCCCCACAGAGCCCCUGGGUGGAGGUGGGGGCUGAGGACACUAAGGCCCACAGGAGAUGCUGCAGGGACCCCCUACCUCACUGGGAUCCCCUCGAGUUCAAACCCCCACAUGGCUCCCCUGAAUUUUCUUGACCAGUGGAUAUUGGCUGCAUUUUUCCUUUGUUUCCAGGAAAGGUUUCUGUCCGUUUUUGGAUGUAGCCCCUAGAGGGGCUUCAUCUGCCCGAGAUGUACCUGAAAGCACUUCAAUAAAUACAACUGCUUUUUAUUCCCUUAAUGUUGUCUGGCCUAGUGCAGAGACCAGAGAGGGGGAACUAGUGGGGAGCUCUUCUGGAAUGAUCAUGAGCCAUUCAGGUCUUGGAAGGCUUAGUGGUGAUAUUUCUGAGGGUUUUUCCACGUAAAUUUUUGUGAUCUGGAGUUUUUUGGGCUGAAUCUUGGUGGUCUGGAGAUUUUUGUGAAUGCAAUAUGUCUGGUGACUUCUAGAGAUUGGUUGGGGCAGGAGGAAUCCCCAACAAAACGCUCUCAUACCUUGUUUUUCUCUCAGAAAUAGGAUUUCUCAUUUCCAAACCUCAGCCCUGUCUGUGGGCCCUGUCUUGGGGACAUCCGCUGGUGUCACCUCAAUCCAGUGUCCCCACUGCUCGUUGUCAACCUCUGGUCCGUGUCCUCAGUGUCCCUGUGUCACCCCUGUCCUGAUGUCCCCCUUGCCUGGCAUCACCCCCAGAUCCGUGUCCAUCUUGUCUUCAGUUGCAAUGCGAGAUGUAAGCAGAAGUAUUUAUUCUAUCACCAUCUGUUGAAACCAGGUGGAGCAGUGUUCUUUAUCUCUUCCAUGACCAUCCCUCAUAACUCCAGGGGGAGAUAUCCUCUGUUAAUGGGCCAGCCACUAAAACCAGGUGGGGCAGUUUUCUUUAUCUCUUCCACAACCCAUCCCCUGUUCAGGGAAAUACCUUCAGUUAAUGGGCCACUGAGCCUCACUGCCUGACUGCUAAAAUGACAAGAUCCCAUUGUGAGAUGCUCCGCCCAGGGGGAGGAGCCAAGCAUUGCUACCUGGAUAUAUUCUGACAUUUGGAACACCACAGUUGGGCUUUUCCCACUGGAUCCCCAGAGGAGCAGCUUUUCUUCUCCACUGGAUCCCAGAGGAAGACCAGACCAUCUACACCACCACCAGACCUUCAGAGGAAAACCACACCGUUUCGCAGGAUCAUUGCUUCAACAGAACCACGUCUGUCGCUCCAGGAGGAAUGCAGCCACCAUUUAAUUGGACUGCUACAAACACCCUGAUUUCCCAUUCCCAAACCUUGGCCCGAUGCAGGAGGAGGAGGCCGCGAGGAAGAGGAAGAUGGUGUGGGAGCCCCAGGCAGAUGAGGAGGAAGUCAGUGCCCCUUUCCCCCUCUCUCCUGCUCCAUCUCCCAGCCCAGCCUGGCCACUGGCUGCAGGAC
Non-coding RNA from Taeniopygia guttata (zebra finch), 2009 nucleotides. The record is from RefSeq and is a predicted model, not a curated record. NCBI's taxonomy places the organism in Eukaryota, Metazoa, Chordata, Aves, Passeriformes, Estrildidae.